RNAcentral lists this ribosomal RNA (273 nucleotides) under uncultured bacterium. RNAcentral describes it as "partial 16S ribosomal RNA". It matches the Rfam family "Bacterial small subunit ribosomal RNA", at positions 524 to 796 of the family's 1533-position model. The record is from RNAcentral.
UACAGAGGGUGCAAGCGUUGUUCGGAAUUAUUGGGCGUAAAGCGCGUGUAGGCGGCCGCGCAAGUCGGGUGUGAAAGCCCUCAGCUCAACUGAGGAAGUGCGCCCGAAACUGCAUGGCUUGAGUACCGGAGAGGAUGGCGGAAUUCCCGAAGUAGAGGUGAAAUUCGUAGAUAUCGGGAGGAACACCGGUGGCGAAGGCGGCCAUCUGGACGGAUACUGACGCUGAGACGCGAAAGCGUGGGUAGCAAACAGGAUUAGAUACCCGAGUAGUCC